AUUAUUCUAUAUGAGAGGUUACAUGUUGGUUUAUUUUAAAGGACGGAGGGAUUAUAUAUGGAGUACAUACGUAUCCAUCUUGGUCGCCGAUAUCGCGCGCGCCUCAUCUCUUCCAACUUCCAAGUGGUAAGCAACAGAAGCCGAGGCCGAGCCAGUGCAGAGGGAUCGGGGAUCGCCAUGGUUGCCGUGGGAUACAUCGUGGGAGCCAUCGCCUCCGUGGCCGUCGGCGCGGCGGUGAGCCUGCUUUGGCCGGCGGUGGCGCCCGUGGUGAUGAUGAAGGCGCCGGGCGGCGCCGGCCUCCUCAUCUCCCGCAUGGCCUUCGAGGCCAACCCGCAGCUCUACUACCACCUCCUCCACACCGCCGGCCGCGUCGCCGCCGCCGCCGCCUUCGCCGUGUGACGUGACGAAUCGACGACCUUAAUUAUUACUUCCACUGUUUUAUAUUAUAAGAAUUUUUAGAAUUGCUAUGAAUAUAUUAUGUCUAGAUUCACUAACAUUCAUAUAAAUGUGGGUAAUGCUAUAAUGUUUUACAAUAUAAAACGGAUGGAGUACGUACGUCUUGCGCUGCUUUGUUGUUAACUUGUUGCUUGGUCGUAGGAACUUACGUUAAUCGUGCCACCUAGUUGAAGUGUUUGCGUUGGUGCUGCUCACAUUGAUCGAUCGACGAUCGAUUGCUGUUCGACAUGCUAUGUUAUCCUGGCUAUCCUGGCUAGCUAGCUUUUCGAGCAAUACGUAGGUUCUGUCUGAGAGAUUACGAGAAAUACUCUCCCGCCCUAAAAAAAAUCAACCUAGAUGAGGAUGUGACUUCACCUAAAACUACGAAUCCGGGCAUCCCCAUCUAGGUUUUUUUUUUUGACGGAGGGAGUAGCUAAAAGGAAUCUAGAUUCUGGUUUUUAGUUUAAUUUUUUGCGCUUUUGCUACUGUGCAGUCGCCUGCAAAUUUGUAAUUCAUCAGUUAAUCCCCUAGUCGUUGAUUCUGCAUUAAGAUCUAUGCACACUACUGGGCUGGUGGAGAAGACUUUCUAGAUAUGGACCUUACUUACAGAUAUAUUGAAUAUGCUCUAAGUUUUAACCAAAUUUUUAGGAAAAAAUUAGUUACAUUUUUAUCCCAAGAUAAAUAUAUUUAAUUAUAGAUAUAAUAAAACUAAUUUGAUUUUGUAGAUAUUACUAAACAUAGUUAAUCUUGAAGUAGUCUAAUUUAAAUAAAGUUAAAACGGAGAUGAUGGCGGCGGCGACGACGCGAAGCUCCUCGGCGAUGGUGGUGGCUAAGCAAAGCUUCAAGACUGAUUCAAAACGAUCAUCUGGGAUACAUUAUUGAGGAACCCAAGCUGCAGGUGGCAUCAACAGUGGAUAUGGAGGCAACUCCGUACUUGCUCUUGGUUACAGUACCCAUCCUGGUGCACACACGCGCACUAGCUUUCUCUCCGGCGUUGAGUGAUUGUAGAUGUAGUAUGUGGCGAUGCCCCUGUUCCUGACCAUUCUGAAAGCUAUCGCUCUGAGGAAGCAUUGCUACUGUUAGGUGGUGUGAGGAAGCAAGAAGAAUAAUUUUGAUAAGAAUCAUUGCUACUGCUUAGUGGUGUUACAAAGCAACAAUUGGCAGUACCAACUACCAAGCAAUAACAACAAAUCUGACGCACAUUUGAUUUGCACAUAUUUUCAGAAAUAUUCAGAAUGUUUGCCAUUCUGAAUUUUGAGCGGACUGCACAUUUUUCUUUCUUCUUACAUGGUAAAAAUGUUCACCCAGAUUGAAUUGAAUGUAAUAUCUCUCAAAUUCUUGAAAUCUGAAUGCAAAAGGUUAUGAUGGCUUGCUGAUAUGAAUGUAAAAAAAUUUGCUGGUUUUUCCA
Oryza sativa Japonica Group (Japanese rice) is the source of this 1843-nucleotide long non-coding RNA. RefSeq lists it as uncharacterized. The record is from RefSeq and is a predicted model, not a curated record. NCBI's taxonomy places the organism in Eukaryota, Viridiplantae, Streptophyta, Magnoliopsida, Poales, Poaceae.